This is a long non-coding RNA of Dendronephthya gigantea, 512 nucleotides long. RefSeq lists it as uncharacterized. NCBI's taxonomy places the organism in Eukaryota, Metazoa, Cnidaria, Anthozoa, Malacalcyonacea, Nephtheidae. The record is from RefSeq and is a predicted model, not a curated record. The transcript has 4 exons.
GGAUAUUGCUUUUCUAUGCUUGCUAAAGAACGAAGCUGCUGCACUACCCGAUGACUAUAUAAAGAGGAGAAAACCUUGUCACUGCUCACUUCAUCGACUGAAUCCUUUCACUGAAGACUGAACAUUUGAAGUAAAGCUGAGUUGUAAAGAAAUCUCAUCAUGAAUUCUAAAUUUAUCAUCUGCUUGUUUCUUGUGAUUUUCACCGUCACGAAUGCAAACCUGGUGAAACGACGCGUGAACUCAGACCUUCAAACUCAGUGCGAAGACUAUAACUUUUUUUGUUGUCCUCUCACGAAUCCUCCGACUUGUGCUGCGGGAGAUGUAUUGCCGUAUGCGUGCUAUGGAUUGGGUAGUGUUUGCUGCAGAGUACCCUGCUUAUAAGAUACCGAGUUUGCUCAAAAGUUGACGUGGAAAGUAUGGUUAUAGAAAAAUCGACAAAUAUCCUUAGGCAUUUGCUAUGCAUGAUGAUUUGAAUUUGUUGAAACGGGAUUAGAACUUCAAUAAAGUUUGAA